GUGAAUCAUCGAAUCUUUGAACGCAAAUUGCGCUUCCUGGCAUCCCGGGAAGUAUGCCUGUUUGAGGGUCAGUAUUAACAAAAAAUCGGCUUGGUUGCAAAUUGUGACGUUUCCGGAGUUCGGGCUAUCUUAACUUUUUUGGUUAAGGGGCUUAAAAUUGACCUUUUUUGCGCACCUUUAGACGUACAUAAAUUUUUUUUUUAUUUGUCUAUUCUUACUGCUAAAAACUCAUUAG
RNAcentral lists this unclassified non-coding RNA (235 nucleotides) under Glomeraceae sp. RNAcentral describes it as "partial contains 5.8S ribosomal RNA and internal transcribed spacer 2". The stretch from base 1 to 71 matches the Rfam family "5.8S ribosomal RNA", at positions 84 to 154 of the family's 154-position model. Lineage: Eukaryota; Fungi; Glomeromycota; Glomeromycetes; Glomerales; Glomeraceae. The record is from RNAcentral.